AACGUAGGAGGCGAGCGUUAUCCGGAUUUACUGGGCGUAAAGCGCGUGCAGGCGGUCAUGCAAGUUGGGCGUGAAAUCUCCUGGCUUAACUGGGAGGGGUCGUUCAAGACUGUGUGACUUGAGUGCAGGAGAGGGAAGCGGAAUUCCUGGUGUAGCGGUAAUAUGCGCAGAUAUCAGGAGGAACAUCCGUGGCGAAGGCGGCUUCCUGGCCUGUAACUGACGCUCAGACGCGAAAGCUAGGGUAGCGAACGGGAUUAGAUACCCCU
Molecule: ribosomal RNA, 266 nt
Filed under: uncultured prokaryote
Description: partial 16S ribosomal RNA
Rfam family: Bacterial small subunit ribosomal RNA
Source: RNAcentral